GACGAACGCUGGCGGCGUGCUUAACACAUGCAAGUCGAACGGAAAGGCCCUGCUUUUGUGGGGUGCUCGAGUGGCGAACGGGUGAGUAACACGUGAGUAACCUGCCCUUGACUUUGGGAUAACUUCAGGAAACUGGGGCUAAUACCGGAUAGGAGCUCCUGCUGCAUGGUGGGGGUUGGAAAGUUUCGGCGGUUGGGGAUGGACUCGCGGCUUAUCAGCUUGUUGGUGGGGUAGUGGCUUACCAAGGCUUUGACGGGUAGCCCGCCUGGGAGGGGGACCGGCCUCAUGGGUCCUGCGAGACGGCGCAGACGCCAACGGGACGCAGAAGUGGGGAGUAUUGCACAGUGGGCGGGAGCCUGUUGCAGCAACGCCGCGUGCGGGAUGACGUCCUUCUGGUUGUAAACCGCUGUCGCCUUUGACGAAGCGUGAGUGACGGUAAUGGGUAAAGAAGCACCGGCUAACUACGUG
RNAcentral lists this ribosomal RNA (468 nucleotides) under uncultured bacterium. RNAcentral describes it as "partial 16S ribosomal RNA". It matches the Rfam family "Bacterial small subunit ribosomal RNA", at positions 28 to 507 of the family's 1533-position model. The record is from RNAcentral.